UUCGGAGACGCCCUCCCGCGGGGUGGCCGCCCCCUCCUCCUGGCGCAAGCCCUUUCGGGUCUGUUCGGAAACACUCGUUUUCCAUCCGGCCACGUUCGGAACUCUGCGGCUGACCCCGGCGGACGUCUCGGGUCGUCCUCCGCACGGUGAUCUCAAACGGUUUAGAGUCUGGAGAGAAGCUAGGCGGAAUGUCCUCGCAGCCUUGCACCCCAGGAGGGCGUGGAUCCCCUCCAAGGGCGAGCCGUUUGGAGGGGAAGAGAUUUGCAUGGGAAAGCUCUCGGUUCCUUCCGCGGGCCGGAGCUGCUGCCCCUCCCCCGUCCUCCCCCUCCGGCCUGCCCGCUGCCGCACCCCAUGAACUCCCCAGAAGGUUAUUUUCUGUUGUCGCGGUCCUCUUUAGGGGCGGGAGCCCUGCCUGAGGUAUCCGCGGGUCUUCAGCCCUCGGCAGCAGGGGCUGGGCGCUUGGGGGGCCUCCGGAGACCCGGGCUCAGCAAAAGGAACGGCACGGCCCCUGUGGCCCCCACGAGUGCACCUGAUCUGGGACCGUGUCCGGGAGCUCCGCGAGGGCGGGGGCCUCGUCUGCUCCCUCCCGGCUCGUGGGCUUCGCCCCUAGGGAGUCCCGGCCGCCCAGACGCACUAGGAGAAGCCUGGGGGACUGCCCCGCUGCCCCCGGCACGGCACCCAAAUCUGGCGGUGGCGCGCAGAGUGUUGGGAGAGCCACCGCUUCCCAGGGGCGCACGGGCGGCCCCGGGUGACAGGCAAUGAGCGAGAGAAAUCUCAGCUCCCCAGAGCCCCCCCGUGUUUGCUCCACUAGAGCGCCCUGCCUGCUGACUGCGCGUCCCGGGGCUCUGGGUCCGGGAGCCUUGUCUGAUCCUUGUUUCUUGACACGCCACGGGGCCUGGGGCGCAGGGGGCCCCUGGAGCAGGCACUGAACGGAAAAGACGUCCGGGCUCCCGCAGCACCCCACGCUGCCUCCAUAAGGCACCCUGAAUUUUAAAUGUGUUCCAUCGCGCUCCUUGGUGUCCGUAAGGCCCCUCCCACCGUUAUCCGGGAGCCGGGCUGCCCCCAGCACAGGCCUCGGAGGGCCGACCUGCCAGAAUCCAAGGCCAGGGCACCCCCCAAGUCGGGCCCGUGUGCACCCCAGCCAGCUCAGGUGACCAGGCGGGCGCCGGGCUCACCUGGCGCCGUCCCCUGACCCCGCCCCGGCCGGGCCGCACCCCGGAACGCUCUCUGGGGGAGCCCGCGCGGCAGAGCAGGGCCAUGGCAGCGGCGCCAGCCGUGGGCGCCGCGCAGGGGCCCCCGCCGGGCGCCCCGUCCCCGCCGGCCGGCGCGCCCGGGCCUGCGUCCGGCCUGGGCCGCUGCCGGGUGGCGCUGCUGCUGGCCGUGGCGCUGGACGUGGCGGGCAUGGCGGCGCUGCUGACCGGCGUGUUCGCGCAGCUGCAGGUGCGCGGCCGCGACUUCGGCGACCUGCUCAUCUACUCGGGCGCGCUGCUCGUCUUCCUGAGCCUGCUCGGCUGGAUCCUCUGGUACACCGGCAACAUCGAGAUCUCGCGCCAGGAGCUCGAGCGCGACUACGGCCUGCGGCCCUCGGCUCUGGCCCGCCUGGCGCGCAAGCUCUCCCGCCGCUGGUCUGCGCCGGCCUCCUCCUCGGGCCCGCGCGGCGCGCCCGGCUCUCUAGGAACGCGCCGUGCCGCCCGCGCGCCCCCGCCGCCCGCCGCCGGCUCCCGCCGCGUGCGCCUGCAGCUCGCUACGCUCGAGGCCGGGCCCGGGGCGGCGGGCGCGGGCACCGAGUGAGCCCGAGCUUGUACCUCUGGACCCCGGUGAGGCAAAUACGCUGCAGCAGAUGGGGGCAUGGAGGGGUGGAGGAGCAAUUGAGCAGAUGGACCCACGGACCCACCUGUCAGGACUGGACUGCGGUGUGCAGUUACGCCCACCAUCAUCUGGGCCACCAGGAUGCCUACCUGUCCGCCCCAUCCUCCUCUGGAUAAAUGGCUCUGCCUCAUA
Molecule: RNA transcript, 2001 nt
Organism: Mirounga angustirostris (Northern elephant seal)
Lineage: Eukaryota; Metazoa; Chordata; Mammalia; Carnivora; Phocidae
Gene: TMEM238
Gene name: transmembrane protein 238
Exons: 3
Source: RefSeq, a predicted model, not a curated record